Molecule: ribosomal RNA, 458 nt
Filed under: uncultured bacterium
Lineage: Bacteria
Description: partial 16S ribosomal RNA
Rfam family: Bacterial small subunit ribosomal RNA
Source: RNAcentral
CCUACGGGAGGCAGCAGUGGGGCAUAUUGCACAAUGGGGGAAACCCUGCUGCAGCGCCGCCGCGUGAGUGAAGAAGUAAUUCGUUACGUAAAGCUCUAUCAGCAGGGAAGAAACACUGACCUUACGGUCCGCAGACGGUACCUGAGUCAGAAGCCCCGGCUAACUACGUGCCAGCAGCCGCGGUAAUACGUAGGGGGCAAGCGUUAUCCGGAUUUACUGGGUGUACAUGGAGCGUAGACGGUGCGCCACGUCUGGAGUGAAAUGCCGCAGCUUAACUGCGGAACUGCUUUGGAAACUGGCGAACGAGAGUGCGGGAGGGGUAAGCGGAAUGCGUAGUGUAGCGGGGAAAUGCGUAGAUAGUAGGAGGAACACCGGUGGCGAAGGCGGCUUACUGGACCGUAACUGACGUGGAGGCUCGAAAGCGUGGGGAGCAAACAGGAGUAGAGACCCUGGUAGUC